UUCACAGCGCUGGACGAGGCAGCGCGCCGACUAGAGAGUGAUGCGCUUUCGCAGCUUCAAAAGCGAACAAACGUACCGGUCUUGGAGGCUGACGGCCAGGGUUGAGAACACAGCACCUCCGUGGACCUGGUCCGAGACUGGCCUCACAGGCCAAGAGAAAGAUGUGAAGCUGAGAAUCAUAGGUGCUGGCAGUAGAAAGCUGACCAACCGUCUGUACUGGAAAGGAAAUCAGAUGCAGUGAGUUGACGCUGAUUGCUCCUGCUUCUCCAGGACAAUGCACCGGAACAGUCCUCCGUCGUGAACAGAGCUAUCAAAAACUGAAGAUGUGUAUGUGUUUAAAACUAAAAUUCA
This is a non-coding RNA of Vicugna pacos (alpaca), 351 nucleotides long. The record is from RefSeq and is a predicted model, not a curated record. NCBI's taxonomy places the organism in Eukaryota, Metazoa, Chordata, Mammalia, Artiodactyla, Camelidae.